GGACUACGGGGGUAUCUAAUCCCUUUCGCGCCCCUAGCCUUCAUCCCUUACUGUCAGAACUGUCCUCGUAAGAUGCCUUCGCUGUUGUUAGUCCGUCUGGGAUUAACACAUUUUACCGCUACUCCAAACGUACUUCUUACGUCUUCCAGUCUCUAGCUUAACAGUACUUCUUGCCCGCUCCAUAUUUAAGACAUGGAAUUUCACAAGAAACUUACUAAGCAAGCUACGGAUGUUUUAGACCCAAUAAUAAUGGCUGCGACUUGGACCGCGGGUAUUACCGCGGCGGCUGGCACCCGUCUUACCCAGUCCUUAUUCGCCAAACUUUUUACAUUUGGCAAAAGCUUUUCAUAUGAAAAGCACUCUGACUCAAUCUGUCACGCUUGCGCGCAUUGCAGAAGAUUCCCCACUGCUGCCCCCCGUAGG
This 423-nucleotide ribosomal RNA is filed under the name uncultured Candidatus Parvarchaeum sp. RNAcentral describes it as "partial 16S ribosomal RNA". Lineage: Archaea; Nanobdellati; Candidatus Parvarchaeota. The record is from RNAcentral.